Non-coding RNA from Triticum aestivum (bread wheat), 119 nucleotides. Lineage: Eukaryota; Viridiplantae; Streptophyta; Magnoliopsida; Poales; Poaceae. The record is from Rfam.
GGAUGCGACCAUGCCAGCACUAAAGCACCGGAUCCCAUCAGAACUCCGAAGUUAAGCGUGCUUGGGCGAGAGUAGUACUAGGAUGGGUGACCUCCUGGGAAGUCCUCGUGUUGCAUUCC